Molecule: ribosomal RNA, 1020 nt
Filed under: Alternaria didymospora
Lineage: Eukaryota; Fungi; Ascomycota; Dothideomycetes; Pleosporales; Pleosporaceae
Also listed under: 8 other names
Description: SSU rRNA
Rfam family: Eukaryotic small subunit ribosomal RNA
Source: RNAcentral
UAUACCGUGAAACUGCGAAUGGCUCAUUAAAUCAGUUAUCGUUUAUUUGAUAAUACCUUACUACUUGGAUAACCGUGGUAAUUCUAGAGCUAAUACAUGCUGAAAAUCCCGACUUCGGAAGGGAUGUGUUUAUUAGAUAAAAAACCAAUGCCCUUCGGGGCUCUUUGGUGAUUCAUGAUAACUUUACGGAUCGCAUAGCCUUGCGCUGGCGACGGUUCAUUCAAAUUUCUGCCCUAUCAACUUUCGAUGGUAAGGUAUUGGCUUACCAUGGUUUCAACGGGUAACGGGGAAUUAGGGUUCGAUUCCGGAGAGGGAGCCUGAGAAACGGCUACCACAUCCAAGGAAGGCAGCAGGCGCGCAAAUUACCCAAUCCCGACACGGGGAGGUAGUGACAAUAAAUACUGAUACAGGGCUCUUUUGGGUCUUGUAAUUGGAAUGAGUACAAUUUAAACCUCUUAACGAGGAACAAUUGGAGGGCAAGUCUGGUGCCAGCAGCCGCGGUAAUUCCAGCUCCAAUAGCGUAUAUUAAAGUUGUUGCAGUUAAAAAGCUCGUAGUUGAAACUUGGGCCUGGCUGGCGGGUCCGCCUCACCGCGUGCACUCGUCCGGCCGGGCCUUCCUUCUGAAGAACCUCAUGCCCUUCACUGGGCGUGCUGGGGAAUCAGGACUUUUACUUUGAAAAAAUUAGAGUGUUCAAAGCAGGCCUUUGCUCGAAUACGUUAGCAUGGAAUAAUAAAAUAGGGCGUGCGUUUCUAUUUUGUUGGUUUCUAGAGACGCCGCAAUGAUUAACAGGAACAGUCGGGGGCAUCAGUAUUCAGUUGUCAGAGGUGAAAUUCUUGGAUUUACUGAAGACUAACUACUGCGAAAGCAUUUGCCAAGGAUGUUUUCAUUAAUCAGUGAACGAAAGUUAGGGGAUCGAAGACGAUCAGAUACCGUCGUAGUCUUAACCGUAAACUAUGCCGACUAGGGAUCGGGCGAUGUUCUUUUUCUGACUCGCUCGGCACCUUACGAGAAAUCAAAGU